UACAGAGGUCUCAAGCGUUGUUCGGAUUCAUUGGGCGUAAAGGGCGCGUAGGCUGCGGGGCAAGUCGGGUGUGAAAUCUCAGAGCUCAACUCUGAAACUGCACUCGAUACUGCUUUGCUUGAGGACUGGAGAGGAGAUUGGAAUUCACGGUGUAGCAGUGAAAUGCGUAGAUAUCGGGAGGAACACCGGUGGCGAAGGCGGCGACCUGGGUAGAUACUGACGCUGAGGUGCGAAAGCGUGGGGAGCAAACAGG
Molecule: ribosomal RNA, 253 nt
Filed under: uncultured bacterium
Lineage: Bacteria
Description: partial 16S ribosomal RNA
Rfam family: Bacterial small subunit ribosomal RNA
Source: RNAcentral